CAAUAGCUACUUGCAUCAUAGUUAAUAUGAUGCAAGCUCGACUAAGUUGAAUAAAAUUCUAGGUAGAAUUAUGAUAAUGACAUUGUCUGCCUAUGUGUCUUGACCAAAUUACGUGCCAGCAGUCGCGGUAAUACGUAGAAGACUAGUGUUAUUCAUGUUUAAUCGGUUUAAAGGGUACCUAGACGGUGAAUCAAGCUUUCGUGUAAAUAAUAAAAACCAGAAAAUCCAGAUUAUAUAAGAAACUUAUUUACAUAUGAUAAGGACUAAUUUACUAGAGUUACUUAUGAGGGGGUAUUAAAGUACUGCUGGUGUAGAGAUGAAAUUCUGUCAUACCUCUUUUCGAAAGAAAAAUCAUGGCACAGGUAUAGGCGAAGGCAUCCCCUUAUGUGCUAACUGACGUUGAGGGACGAAGGCUUCAUGUAACAAACAGGAUUAGAUACCCUAGUAGUUGAAGCAGAAAAUGAUGAAUGUCAUAGAUUAGAUAUCUAAGUUUAUUCUAUAAAUGAAAGUGUAAGCAUUCCACCUCAUGAGUAAUUUGGCAACAUUGGAAUUGAAAUCAUUAGACCGUUUCUGAAACCAGUAGUGAAGUAUGUUGUUUAAAUUGAUAACCCGCAAAAAACCUUACCACAAUUUGAAUAUUUAUAUCUUUUAUUGUUUUCAUCUUAAUUUUCUUAUGAUUUUAUAAAUAAAAAUAAAAAAUAUUAAGAACAAGGCAAUAAGA
This 721-nucleotide ribosomal RNA is filed under the name Flavoparmelia soredians. Its description in RNAcentral is "SSU rRNA". It matches the Rfam family "Bacterial small subunit ribosomal RNA", at positions 378 to 1035 of the family's 1533-position model. Lineage: Eukaryota; Fungi; Ascomycota; Lecanoromycetes; Lecanorales; Parmeliaceae. The record is from RNAcentral.